Molecule: non-coding RNA, 278 nt
Organism: Caenorhabditis elegans
Lineage: Eukaryota; Metazoa; Nematoda; Chromadorea; Rhabditida; Rhabditidae
Source: Ensembl
GCGAAAAAGUAUCUUGGAAUGUCCGAAACCCAAGGCGUGCGCGCAACCAAAAAAAUGGAUGAGCGAAGAUGAGGGUGAGAGACGACCACCACGAAACACAAACCAGAUUGAUUCUCGCUUAAUUGACAAGGCUUGUGAUGAGACGAAAAAAUGGAUGAAGGAGGGAAGGAGAAGCCAGAAAAAUGGAUGAAAGAGAUAGAGAGAGAAAGGGGGAGAACGAAACGAACUGUUUCGGGGGUGGUUGGAGGGGGAGAUUACUGUAUAGUUUGAGUGGCUUU